Molecule: ribosomal RNA, 501 nt
Filed under: uncultured bacterium
Lineage: Bacteria
Description: partial 16S ribosomal RNA
Rfam family: Bacterial small subunit ribosomal RNA
Source: RNAcentral
AUUGAACGCUGGCGGCAGGCUUAACACAUGCAAGUCGAGCGGAGAGAGGUAGCUUGCUACUGAUCUUAGCGGCGGACGGGUGAGUAAUGCUUAGGAAUCUGCCUAUUAGUGGGGGACAACAUUUCGAAAGGAAUGCUAAUACCGCAUACGUCCUACGGGAGAAAGCAGGGGAUCUUCGGACCUUGCGCUAAUAGAUGAGCCUAAGUCGGAUUAGCUAGUUGGUGGGGUAAAGGCCUACCAAGGCGACGAUCUGUAGCGGGUCUGAGAGGAUGAUCCGCCACACUGGGACUGAGGCACGGCCCAGACUCCUACGGGAGGCAGCAGUGGGGAAUAUUGGACAAUGGGCGCAAGCCUGAUCCAGCCAUGCCGCGUGUGUGAAGAAGGCCUUAUGGUUGUAAAGCACUUUAAGCGAGGAGGAGGCUACUUUAGUUAAUACCUAGAGAUAGUGGACGUUACUCGCAGAAUAAGCACCGGCUAACUCUGUGCCAGCAGCCGCAGUAA